GACGCACUCAACGUACUAGUCCUCAUAAAUCUAAUCUCCCUCACUUUCUUCGCUCCUUCUUCUUCUCCAUAAUCGUACCGGGUCUAUCUCGGCCGUAUCGGACUACCCAAAAAAAACCCCGAAACACCAUGGCCGAAACACAGCCUGAGUCCCAGACUUCGACUGAGUCUGUGACCGACACUGAACCCUCACAGUACUGGUGCUACAGCUGCGAAAAACGCGUCACCGUCGAAACCCUAAAUAACGUGCCAAUUUGCAACGAGUGCAAGGACGGUUUCGUCGAAUCGCUUCCCGCCACGUUGCCCUCUCCAUCGACUCCGCCUUCUGGAGAGUCCGAUCAGGUCGAUGAUCCAACCUUCGGCUCUCAAUUCCUUCAGGUUCUCCGCUUGAUGGCGCAGGCCGCGCGUGACGAGGACGCGCCUCCGCCUCCUCCUCGCGACCAUUCGCCUGACGACGAUUUCCUCAGGAUUGAGCUUGAUGGAUGGUAUAACGAUGAAGAGGAUGAAGAUCCGAACAACACCGAGUUUCAGAACCACGAGGAAGAGGAAGAGGAAGGAAAUGAAGAUGAAGAUGAAGAUGAGGACGAAGAUCGCUCAUCUGAUAACGAGGACCAAGAGAAUCGAGAUCGGCAAGAGAGAGAGGAAGAUGAUGAAAUACAACGGCAAAGGCGGCGUGAUCUGCUUCGGCUUCGGAUCCAGGACGUUAUGCCUCGGGCACGGAGCGGCCGUAACCGGAUCUUGGAUUGGGCCGAGAUUCUCAUGGGCCUGGAGGACACCUCUAUCGAAUUCCGCCUCGAAGUCCCUGAUUCGGACCGGUACGUCGGCAAUCCUGAAGAUUACGUCGACGCCGAGGGCUACGAGGCGUUACUGCAAGCCUUAGCGGAGAACGAUAUCGGCGCAAGAAGAGGCGCGCCGCCUGCUUCAAAAUCGGCCGUCUCGGCUUUACCGACGGUGGUGAUUGCGUCGGAGAUAGAGGCUUCAGUCUGUGCUAUAUGUAAGGACAUGGUCAAUAUUGGCGAAACCGCCACUAAAUUGCCGUGUGGUCAUGAUUACCACGGCGAUUGCAUUGUGCCUUGGCUUGGUUCCCGGAAUUCUUGCCCGGUUUGUAGGUUUGAGCUUCCGACGGAUGAUCCCGAAUACGAAGAGGAGAGGAAGAAGACGGCGAAGGCAAGUGCCGGUGGAGCUUCCGGUUCUGGCCGAAAUAAUUCCGUUUUGGAUUGAUUAUCAAAUCGAAUCGUGCAAAGCUUGUGAUUCUUGUGCGUGAUGGUGAACUGAGUUUGCCAAUUCUGAUUGUAGAUUAUCGAUGAAGGCGGAGCCAGGUAUCAGAUCCAAAUCUUUUAGUGCGGGAAUUACUAAGGUGCUUUUUGAAUCCGGUGUUUGCCAAAAAAGGGAAA
This is an RNA transcript of Quercus lobata, 1393 nucleotides long. It is a transcript of the gene named COP1-interacting protein 8, with no coding region annotated. The transcript is spliced from 3 exons. NCBI's taxonomy places the organism in Eukaryota, Viridiplantae, Streptophyta, Magnoliopsida, Fagales, Fagaceae. The record is from RefSeq and is a predicted model, not a curated record.